GGGGACGUAGCUCAGUGGAUAGAGCGGCCAAACCGCCAUCGCCAAAUUUGCCUCACGGGGCCGGGGGCCGAUGGUUACCAUUUGAGAUGGGCAGGUCGCGGGUUCGAGUCCCGCCGUCUCCA
RNAcentral lists this transfer RNA (122 nucleotides) under Chloroflexota bacterium. RNAcentral describes it as "tRNA-Ser". It matches the Rfam family "tRNA". Rfam says of the family: Transfer RNA (tRNA) molecules are approximately 80 nucleotides in length. Their secondary structure includes four short double-helical elements and three loops (D, anti-codon, and T loops). The record is from RNAcentral. Lineage: Bacteria; Bacillati; Chloroflexota.